GACGAACGCUGGCGGCGUGCUUAACACAUGCAAGUCGAACGGAAAGGCCCUGCUUUUGUGGGGUGCUCGAGUGGCGAACGGGUGAGUAACACGUGAGUAACCUGCCCUUGACUUUGGGAUAACUUCAGGAAACUGGGGCUAAUACCGGAUAGGAGCUCCUGCUGCAUGGUGGGGGUUGGAAAGUUUCGGCGGUUGGGGAUGGACUCGCGGGUUAUCAGCUUGUUGGUGGGGUAGUGGCUUACCAAGGCUUUGACGGGUAGCCGGCCUGAGAGGGUGACCGGCCACAUUAGGACUGAGGUACGGCCCAGACGCCUACGUGAGGCAACGGUGGGGAGUAUUACACAAUGGGCGGGAGCCUGAGGCAGCGGCGCCGCGUGCGGGAUGACGGCCUUCGGGUUGUAAACCGCUUUCGCCUGUGACGAAGCGGGAGUGACGGUAAUGAGUAAAGAAGCACCGGCUAACUACGUG
Molecule: ribosomal RNA, 468 nt
Filed under: uncultured bacterium
Lineage: Bacteria
Description: partial 16S ribosomal RNA
Rfam family: Bacterial small subunit ribosomal RNA
Source: RNAcentral